RNAcentral lists this long non-coding RNA (622 nucleotides) under Penaeus japonicus. RNAcentral's name for it is "uncharacterized LOC122251399". The record is from RNAcentral. Lineage: Eukaryota; Metazoa; Arthropoda; Malacostraca; Decapoda; Penaeidae.
CUUGGACGACGGGUGGGUGAGGGAGGUCUGGCUCUACUGCGCGUGUGCGGCCACUCGCUGUCACGUCUAUUUAAUAGGCUGAAAAACGAAGCAGACACUUUUACUCUAACGGUGUCAAGACGUGAGGUGAGAUCUCUUACCUCGCCACUUCAGGAUGUGACGAGCGGAGCAAACUGAGAUGACAGUUCGUGACAAUCUGUAACCCGGGUUUAGGAGGUUACGGGAGGAGUGCGGGGAGUUCUUCUCCAAGAACGGAUGAAUGGAUAUCAAUGUGAAACGAUAAUCAAGGAAGUAGCGUAUGAAAUAUUUUAUAUACACUGUCCUCUACCUUUAAAUUGUGAAUUGUGACUGGAAAAUAGUGAACUGAGGGCUUCCAAAAUCACUGCAAAUCCCAACCGUCAGAUUUGGCAACGAAGCGGACUCCUGCAACCUUCGAAAUCGCGAGGAGGUAAGGGAGACGCCGCCGGAAGCGCCCGGGAUCAGCUGUAAGGACUGAGAAAGCCGUCUGCAAUAUUCCUUUCUCGUCGCGUAGCAAACAUCUGUUGCAGCUCUUACGUGAGUGUGUUGCAAAGAAUAUUAUCAUCAUUAUUAUCAUUCUUCUUGUUGCUUUAGUUAUUCGUAA